ACUCACCAUCCAUAAUAGGGCCACUGUCGUGCACUGGGGGAGAACAUGAGCACACAAUGGCGGGAAAUUUGAACCGGAUUUUGAACAGCUGAGCGUGGCAGGCGAGAGACAAAUGUAUUUCGUAGAUAGGGUAGAAUGUACAGCAAGCAACAACAACAUCAUCGGUGUAAAUGCUGAGGGAAGUGACAUGUGCUCUCCAAAAAAAAAACAAGACAUCUGACAGAUUUUAUUUUCCUGAUAUUUUUUUACAAUGUGAGACAGCGAAAAGGAUAUAGAAACUUCAGGAAGCUGAUCUCGGGAAAACAUAGUUUGGUGGGAGCCAUGCAGUUUCUCAUUAGCGCAGAAUAGCCUUGUGUAGACUAUAAAAGAUGUAUCCUGAGCCAUGAUUGGAAGUGGGAUAUACCAUCCAUGCGGCGUGGUCAUCGAGGAAUGGAACAUGAGAUGAUGAUCAGGAGAUGAUGCUCAGGAGAUCAUUGAUGGCGGGUGAGGAGGAUAGCAGAUUGUUCUUAUGAGGUAUCCAGCUGUUACAUUGUGAGAUGAGGUCAGACGUCGACGUGUAGGCCUAUCCGCAGUUUUACCAAGAGAAGGAAGAGGGAGUGGACGGUGUACUUCGACCGACGAAUAUAUCUUGCAGAUACUAUGAUUGGAAAUUGUACCCUAUGCAGUCUCAUCACGGUGAGGGGUGAUCAAGGAUCCAGUUAGGCUAUUGGCCUUCUGCCGCCCCGCUAGUCCGAGGAAGUUUACGCGGGAGUUUACGUUACAUGACGGGAAUGUUCCAAAAACGUUAAGGGUUGUUUUACAAUUAAUCAGGAUGCGUUUUUAAGGCCUUCUGUGCAUCAUAAAAUGACAUUAUGUGUAGUGGAUAAUCUCAAAUCUACGAUGGCAAUGGUAUAGGCACUUUUAGAGCAGUUGAGUCCAUGGUUAAAGCAACCUGCAAUAGAACUUCGCGAAAUUAACCUUAGUAUCUUGCAUUUUAGGGAAAACCUACUCUCUCAUGCCCCCCCCCCCCCUCGGCCCAAGCAUAUCGCAUCUCCGUUCUUUUUUGACAAAUCGGAAUUGAUAAUUGAAAUAAGAUUGUUUCAAAACUGAAAAGCCAGAUAACUUGAUUGUAUGCCUUUUAACCCGACAUUGGGCAUUCUGCCCCCAAAGUCCUCUGCUAAUUAGGGAGUUUAAUGCACAUUUAUGCCUUAUUAAGAUUAUAAUAUAUUUUUCUUUGUAAACAUUUUUAUAUUAUAUAAUACAUAUGAAACAAUAAGUGAGGAAAAACAAUAAGUGAGGAAAAACAAUAAGUGAGGAAAAACAUUUUUUUAAUGAAAUUAGACUCACAGCUAUACUCUGAUUGUAAAAACAAUCAUCGAUCCUUAUAUUAGUGUGGAGAUCAGUGAAUUUACUGGAACAAAAUUGAUCAACCAAAUCGGCACAUCUUCCUUUCACGAAUGCGGCAGAAUUAUACUCCGUGAUAUUUUUUUCCCACAUUUUAAUGGCGUUAUUCAGACAUAAUAAUAUAAAAAACGAAAACGAGAUAACAUAAAAACUUUGUCUAUCUUGCGUGCAGGAAAAGUUUCAUUUUAUACUUGACCUAUAUGCUGACUGAAUUUUAGGUAUCGUGUUAAGGCCUCCGCACUCUUUAUAACCUGUCCAUGAUCCGAUUUUGGAACAAAUCCAUUGCUUAUAUUCUGAUAAUGUGGACGGAAAGUACUGUAUGUUUUUAUUCGAGGUUUAAAUUAACUAUUAGCACAUCAAUUUUGGAUGAUUGCAAGCGUUUAUAAUUAUUUUGAAGUAAAGACCACCUUAGUUUCAAAUCCUAGUCAAUCGUAUGAUAGCUGUGACGUCAUUACGAAUAAAUAUUUCGCUUUUAAUCUAAUAAGGAUGGUAGCAUAGUUACAGAUUUGAAUACAUGUACAAGUAUUUGUACACCGAUUUAGACAAUUUUAAACAUUAAGAUGUUCCAUGUCUCAGUUAAUAUUCGCGAACCAAUUGUACUACGUUCUAUUACGAAAUCAGGUCGAAGACCAAUCGUAAGGUUUGAGUGUCUUUACGGUUUUAACCUCUUGAGGGGAAGGUUUUCAUUUACCAUCACAUGGGUUUUGAACGUUGGUGGUUCACGAAAUUAAGUGAGGAAGUAUAGAAUAUUAAACAUAUAUCAAGAUAUCUAUGGCCCAUAUCCUUUCCCCCUCUCGGAUGAAAAUUCAUAUAAUAAAGAGGUAAAAAUCUUUGAUGAGGCAAACAUUUCAACAGACCCUUAGAAUGGGUUACAUUUUAGAUAUUCAUUCCUGCGAAGUAAGAAACAAUGUAUUUGUGAACGAUUUAUUAAUGAAUUAACAGAAUUGUACUGAAAGCCCAGUUUGCCAAUUUCUCAUUUGACUGUUUGAAAGUAUUUUGAAGGGCAAGUCCACCCGAACAAAAAUGGUUGUGAAUGAAUAGAGGAACAAUCAAAUCAAAAUCAAAAUUUUAUAAAAAGCAGGUGUAAAAUAAAAAAGUUAUGAAAUUAUGAAUUUUCGCUUAUUUUUACGAAAGAAUUAAAUUGCACCAAUGUAUUUUCUAAAAUAUGAAACAGGUUAUUCUAAUUUUCCACAGAUUUGACAAAGCAUUUUCGUUGAAUCAAACUAGAUUGCAACUAUGGCAAUCACAUACAAGAAGAAAUCAAACCUAGUUUCACGUCAUAAUAAGGAAAAUAUAUGAAGAUAUUUCAGAAUUCACAUGAUGAUGAUAAAAUACAAAGAAAUGGUGUUGGUGGAGUCAUCAGUUGCCUCAUUUGCAUACUGACCAGAAUUGACAUAA
Molecule: long non-coding RNA, 2781 nt
Organism: Lytechinus pictus (painted urchin)
Lineage: Eukaryota; Metazoa; Echinodermata; Echinoidea; Temnopleuroida; Toxopneustidae
Exons: 2
Source: RefSeq, a predicted model, not a curated record